AGUGGUCCUGCUUGAGAGGGGUUAGGACAUUUGGCCUUGUUGGACUAGGUGUGGCCUUGUUGGAGGAAGUGUGUCACUGGGGGUGGGCUUUGAGGUUACAGAAGCUCAAGCCAGGCCCAUUUUCUCCCUUUUCCUGCUGCCUGUGGAUCCGGGCACAGAACUCUCAGCCCCUGCAGCACUAUGUCUGUCUGCCUGUGUACCUCCAUGCUUCCGGCCAUGCUGAUAAUGAACUAAACCUUGGAAACUCUAAGCAAUUCACAGCAAGAUGAAUGAAGAGUGCAUCAAACAGAUGGAGCAAGCAACUGUGAAAAGCCAACUUGAAGCAGCUUUCAGCUCAGUGACUGAGAAACUGCCAUUUCUCUCCAGAGACAUUCUGCAGAGAGAGGAACAAUGGGUGAGAUUACUUCCUGCUGGCAUCAUGAUGGGGCAGAGCAGACCAAUGUGCGGAAAUGAAGAGGAUAGCUGUGGUUCUGGUGUUUGCUAGACAUCCUUUCUGUAGUUAAAAUGAGACAUUUGGUCAGUCUGCACAGAAGCCAUAGGACUUGCAUGCUGAGAACACAAGACAUCAUUCCCUGGACAGUUUUCCAGGCUAGAACAAUGGACAGUUUUAAUAAAGAAUUCAGACUUUUUGGGCUUUGUCAUUGUGCACAAAGAAUAGGAAUGGCUGGUUAUUUGCCACGAAUGCUGGCAUAUGUGAUGGGAAAGCAAUAUUCACUCCCACACUAAUGCUCAAAAUUGCAACAGUAGGGCUGUGGAUAGCUCAGUCAGUUAUGUUCUUGUGGGGGAUGCAUGAAGAACUGAGUUGAAUACUCACAGAAGCUAAAAACUGGCUGUGGUCGCAUGCAUUUCUAAUUCCAGGGCUCGAGGCAGAGGUGGACAUAUCUCUGGGGCCCACUGGAUAGCCUGGAU
Molecule: long non-coding RNA, 909 nt
Filed under: Cricetulus griseus (Chinese hamster)
Lineage: Eukaryota; Metazoa; Chordata; Mammalia; Rodentia; Cricetidae
Description: lncRNA (ENSCGRG00015031970.1)
Source: RNAcentral